UACGUAGGGGGCAAGCGUUGUCCGGAAUUAUUGGGCGUAAAGAGCUCGUAGGCGGCUUUGUCAGUCGGGUGUGAAACCUCCAGGCUCAACCUGGAGCCGCCACCCGAUACUGCAAUAGCUAGAGUCCGGUAGGGGAGCAUGGAACUCCUGGUGUAGCGGUGAAAUGCGCAGAUAUCAGGAAGAACACCAGUGGCGAAGGCGGUGCUCUGGGCCGGAACUGACGCUGAGGAGCGAAAGCGUGGGGAGCAAACAGG
Molecule: ribosomal RNA, 254 nt
Filed under: uncultured bacterium
Lineage: Bacteria
Description: partial 16S ribosomal RNA
Rfam family: Bacterial small subunit ribosomal RNA
Source: RNAcentral